UGAACGUGAUUUUUAUUCUCUCUCCAGUUAUUUUUUUUUCUGUCAUUGAUAAGGGUCCUUAAGGAGAAAAAUUCAUUAACAAAAAGCAAGAAAGCGUGUGAAAAAGAAGAAAAUCUAAAUGUCACCGCGCAAUUGAAAUACGAGCUAAAAUGGAAAUACUUUCUCCUACUUAAAACCCAGACUGAAUCACCUUCAAAGUGACCUUUCACAAUCUUUCCAAUUUGCCUCUGUUUAAACUGUCUGGGCCUAAAAGCAAGCAUUAUUCAUUUUCUUUUUCCCAAAGUGGACUCGUGUGUAAAGUAGGAAAAUUAAAAGAAACUGCUAAAAAUCCCUUCCAACCACAGGCUGACCCCACUCACCAGCUCACAGCGAAGGCUCCUGUUGAUCUAUCCCCUAAUCUCAUUUCAUUUGGAUAUUUACAUUGUACCUACUGCUAAACACUCUGCAGGAGGCUCAGGAAACCUCAAUCUGUCCAUUCUUAUCUCCUAUCUGUGUCUCUGUAUCAUUAGUCCUUCCAAACAUCGUGCCGUGUGUAUUCAGUCUAUUUGAAAGCUCCAAAUGGUACAUCAGACCUGAUCUGUUUUUGGUGAAGAUUUAGGGAGCUAUGAGAAUUUGGAUUAUAACAUGCAUUUUGCUUCAUUUAUUUUUAUCACACUUAAAGGCCAAGGGUGAUGAUUAACUUACAGACAUCGAAUUCAUUUCUCUACUGAAACCUUAAAGUAGUAUUUGGUCAUUCAUUGUAUGUGUCUUAUAUACCCACCCACACACAGACACAAAGGAAAUCUAUCAAAUUAAUCCUGAUUGUAUUUGAAGUGGUUAUUCAAUUCAUUUAUGGCAGAGCAAUAUCAGUCCUAAUGACUCGU
RNAcentral lists this long non-coding RNA (863 nucleotides) under Androctonus crassicauda. Lineage: Eukaryota; Metazoa; Arthropoda; Arachnida; Scorpiones; Buthidae. The record is from RNAcentral.